AUCCUGGUGAAGAUUCUCAGACCAUAGGAAGUGCCGUAGGACACUGUAAACAACGGCUGCUUCUCUCCACUGCAAGUGUCCUCCUUCGCCCAUAACCUUUGUUGUUUGUGGGCUGGAAUUUCCAUUUGCAGCUGGUUUGGUUCAGCUGUGUGCGUGAUUUUAAGUGGGUCUCUGAGGGAU
Triticum urartu is the source of this 180-nucleotide non-coding RNA. The record is from Rfam. Lineage: Eukaryota; Viridiplantae; Streptophyta; Magnoliopsida; Poales; Poaceae.